GGGGAUAUGAUGAAAUUGGUAAACAUGCGAGUCUUAAAAACUUGUGCUUCGGCUUGUGGGUUCGAGUCCCACUAUCCCCACCA
Molecule: transfer RNA, 83 nt
Filed under: Candidatus Saccharimonadota bacterium
Lineage: Bacteria; Candidatus Saccharimonadota
Description: tRNA-Leu
Rfam family: tRNA
About the family: Transfer RNA (tRNA) molecules are approximately 80 nucleotides in length.
Source: RNAcentral